RNAcentral lists this transfer RNA (114 nucleotides) under Candidatus Jordarchaeia archaeon. RNAcentral's name for it is "tRNA-Trp". Lineage: Archaea; Promethearchaeati; Candidatus Jordarchaeia. The record is from RNAcentral.
GGGGGCGUAGCGCAGCUAGAACGGCCAUACGUGGUAAAGUAGCGCGGCUGGCUCCAGAAGCAAUGAGAGCAAACUGGUGCGCUGACCGAAGAAUGAUAAGUCCCACCGCCCCCA